Carassius gibelio (silver crucian carp) is the source of this 386-nucleotide long non-coding RNA. RefSeq lists it as uncharacterized. The record is from RefSeq and is a predicted model, not a curated record. Lineage: Eukaryota; Metazoa; Chordata; Actinopteri; Cypriniformes; Cyprinidae. The transcript is spliced from 3 exons.
AUUUCUGCUGUCCGCCAUUACCUCGUUUCGCAAGCAAAAGACCAUCUCCAUGUGCGAGUCUGCGAGAAAACUCAAUUAAACAAGGUGCCCUCUUUCUGGAAUCAUUAACUGCUUCAGAAUUUGUCCAAAGCCCCAGAGGAUGCCUUGCCAGCAAAAAAAAGUAAAGAGACCAAAGAGAGGAGAAGCUAACCAUAUACCCGACAUUCCAACUGGAGAGACUCAAGAAAAACUGGAAAAUGAGAGACACUCACUUUUAAUAGAAGUAAAGAAACGAGACAAUCGUGCAGUGGUAAAGGACAAAAUGGCCAAAGCCUUUUCACUGCAAAGACAAGAAAUUGUGGAAAAGGAAUUGGGUGUUGAAGAGUUUGCCUGCAUUGUUCACAGAG